AUUGAACGCUGGCGGCAUGCUUUACACAUGCAAGUCGAACGGUAACAGGGUGCUUGCACCGCUGACGAGUGGCGAACGGGUGAGUAAUGCGUCGGAACGUGCCGAGUAGUGGGGGAUAACGCAGCGAAAGUUGUGCUAAUACCGCAUACGUACUGAGGUAGAAAGUGGGGGACCUUCGGGCCUCACGCUAUUCGAGCGGCCGACGUCUGAUUAGCUAGUAGGUGAGGUAAAGGCUCACCUAGGCGACGAUCAGUAGCGGGUCUGAGAGGAUGAUCAGCCACACUGGGACUGAGACACGGCCCAGACUCCUACGGGAGGCAGCAGUGGGGAAUUUUGGACAAUGGGCGAAAGCCUGAUCCAGCCAUGCCGCGUGUCUGAAGAAGGCCUUCGGGUUGUAAAGGACUUUUGUCGGGGAGGAAAUCCCCAGCGUUAAUACCGCUGGGGGAUGACAGUACCUGAAGAGUAAGCACCGGCUAACUACGUGCCAGCCGCCGCAGUAA
RNAcentral lists this ribosomal RNA (500 nucleotides) under uncultured bacterium. Its description in RNAcentral is "partial 16S ribosomal RNA". It matches the Rfam family "Bacterial small subunit ribosomal RNA", at positions 30 to 523 of the family's 1533-position model. The record is from RNAcentral.